CGACCAAGCUUGCAUUUCAGAAGUUCUCAGUGGAAUUUGCAAUGAUCAGAAUUGACUGAAUUAAGAACUUGUAUAUUUCUGGUGGAUAUCAACCAUACAAGAAUCAACUUUAACAGUAAAAAUAAAAAAAUAUCAACCUUAGAACCAUGCGUCUUUCACAUAUUUCCGACUGCACAGUCAACAUAGGUUUACAGUUCUCGAUUGCUUGACUGGGCUACGCUAUCGAUCCUACACAUCAAUAUGUUCUUC
Non-coding RNA from Schizosaccharomyces pombe (fission yeast), 249 nucleotides. Lineage: Eukaryota; Fungi; Ascomycota; Schizosaccharomycetes; Schizosaccharomycetales; Schizosaccharomycetaceae. The record is from the annotation of a GenBank genome assembly.